CAAAUGAAAUGGCUUCUUUAGGGUUUCACCAACCCUUGAGUGCCGCCGCUCAGCCUUGUGCCAAAGCUCCGAUUACGACGGAGAUGGCAACAACUCGGUGGUUCCGGCAGAAAAAGGUGAAGAUUCGGCUCGUGCGGGGCUUGGCUGCGGCGCGAACGUGGAAGACUGCCUAGGGUUUCCUCUGUGCUAGAAACGCAGGGCCUCGAUCUUGUUUUGGGGUUUGGGCCAUAUAGGCCCACUAUAUUUUAGGUCAUUUUUAAUUUUAAUAGACCCGGGCCAAAAUCGGGUAUUACAAAACUUAAAAUAAAUAAUUACUUUUUUAUAACCUAAAACAAUUUUAAAAUUUUAUAAAAAUAUU
Long non-coding RNA from Gossypium raimondii (Peruvian cotton), 358 nucleotides. RefSeq lists it as uncharacterized. The record is from RefSeq and is a predicted model, not a curated record. The transcript is spliced from 2 exons. NCBI's taxonomy places the organism in Eukaryota, Viridiplantae, Streptophyta, Magnoliopsida, Malvales, Malvaceae.